CCUACGGGUGGCAGCAGUGGGGAAUAUUGCACAAUGGGGGAAACCCUGAUGCAGCGACGCCGCGUGCAUGAUGAAGUAAUUCGUUAUGUAAAGCUCUAUCAGCAGGGAAGAAAAUGACGGUACCUGAGGAAGAAGCCCCGGCUAACUAAGUGCCAGCAGCCGCGGUAAUACGGAGGGGGCAAGCGUUAUCCGGAUUUACUGGGUGUAAAGGGAGCGUAGACGGCAGUGCAAGUCUGCAGUGAAAGGCGGGGGCUCAACCCCGGAACUGCUCUGGAAACUGUUGGGCUGGAGUGCGGGAGAGGUAGGUGGAAUUCGUAGUGUAGCGGUGAAAUGCGUAGAUAUUAGGAGGAACACCAGUGGCGAAGGCGGCUUACUGGACUGUAACUGACGUUGAGGCUCGAAAGCGUGGGGAGCAAACAGGAUUAGAUACCCGAGUAGUC
RNAcentral lists this ribosomal RNA (440 nucleotides) under uncultured bacterium. RNAcentral describes it as "partial 16S ribosomal RNA". It matches the Rfam family "Bacterial small subunit ribosomal RNA", at positions 338 to 795 of the family's 1533-position model. The record is from RNAcentral.